RNAcentral lists this transfer RNA (71 nucleotides) under Bos taurus (domestic cattle). It matches the Rfam family "tRNA". From Rfam's summary of the family: Transfer RNA (tRNA) molecules are approximately 80 nucleotides in length. Their secondary structure includes four short double-helical elements and three loops (D, anti-codon, and T loops). The record is from Rfam by way of RNAcentral. Lineage: Eukaryota; Metazoa; Chordata; Mammalia; Artiodactyla; Bovidae. RNAcentral also lists the same sequence under 5 other names.
UCCCUGGUGGCUCAGCAGUAAAGAAUCUGCCUGCAAUGCAGGAGAUCCAGGUUCAGUCCCUGGGUGGGGAA